Molecule: ribosomal RNA, 468 nt
Filed under: uncultured bacterium
Lineage: Bacteria
Description: partial 16S ribosomal RNA
Rfam family: Bacterial small subunit ribosomal RNA
Source: RNAcentral
GACGAACGCUGGCGGCGUGCUUAACACAUGCAAGUCGAACGGAAAGGCCCUGCUUUUGUGGGGUGCUCGAGUGGCGAACGGGUGAGUAACACGUGAGUAACCUGCCCUUGACUUUGGGAUAACUUCAGGAAACUGGGGCUAAUACCGGAUAGGAGCUCCUGCUGCAUGGUGGGGGUUGGAAAGUUUCGGCGGUUGGGGAUGGACUCGCGGCUUAUCAGCUUGUUGGUGGGGUAGUGGCUUACCAAGGCUUUGACGGGUAGCCGGCCUGAGAGGGUGACCGGCCACAUUGGGACUGAGAUACGGCCCAGACUCUUACGGGAGGCAGCAGUGGGGAAUAUUGCACAAUUGGCGGAAGCCUGAUGCAGCAACGCCGCGUGCGGGAUGACGGCCUUCGGGUUGUAAACCGCUUUCGCCUGUGACGAAGCGUGAGUGACGGUAAUGGGUAAAGAAGCACCGGCUAACUACGUG